Molecule: long non-coding RNA, 1005 nt
Filed under: Gallus gallus (chicken)
Lineage: Eukaryota; Metazoa; Chordata; Aves; Galliformes; Phasianidae
Description: lncRNA (ENSGALG00010019782.1)
Source: RNAcentral
AUGUUUUUCAUUCUUCUCUACCUCGCAGCAAGCUAUUCACUGCAUUUUUUGAGGGGGAAAUAAAAAAAAGAAGUUAUAUACUACAUAGCGUCUUUUUUUUUUUUUUUUUUUUUUUUGAAAUUGAAGAGGAAAAGGCAUGUGGAGAGAGGGGAAAAGGAAGAUUUCACUCACUGCAAAUUUCUUGGACUGCUCUGAGCUCACCUGGAAAACAAAGAGACUGAAUUCUUCCUCUCGUGUAGAUGGAUGCGAGCAUGGUACGACUGCAGGGGCCUCAGAAGUGGAGAUGUAGGACACAGUACAAGGGAUUACAUACAAGGGAUGAGAAGAAAAGGGGCAGAGGAUUACAGCAUUGACCAAGUGUCUGCUGCAGCAGGUCUGAAAGAGAAUAUGAUCUGAAUGGCAGUUGAGCAACAAAGCAACUUGCAGGAGUGGCGUUAAAUGGUAACAAUUUAUUUCUUCAAGAUUACUCAGAGGUAUCACUAUUAUCCCUCAUAUUGGCACAGAAAAAUCAGAGCUAAAGAUUUGCUUCAAGCAGAACUGAAGGAAGUGCUUUAGGUGCUGCAGCAUACACUCACUUGGACAACAGAACAGCUUUUUGGAAAAGAAGUUAAAUCAACUUCAAGGGAGUCCUGCCACAAUGAAAAAAAAAAAAAAAAGAAAAAAGAAGAAAACCUUUAGAUCAAUACAGUACUUUUUCCUGUGCUUAGAUGACUACUUUUGCAUGGUGAUCUGCUUCAGAACUCUUUAAGUAAGCUUAACAGCAACAAAAUUAGAGUAUGACUGUGAUUUUAGAUUUACAUUCUUACAAAUAUUUCCUCAAUGAAAACUUUUCAUCCACCAGAGUAAUGAGAUGGCUACUAGAAAGGCUUUUUCAUUAUAUGCACACUACCUAUUUAAAGUGUAUGCAGUAGCACCAGUACCGAAUUUCCUUAGGGCUGACUUUGAUGGGCCCUUUGAACUGGGAGAAGUUUUGCUUUAACAUAAGGGAAGAGACUGAAAAUUAAG